RNAcentral lists this microRNA (21 nucleotides) under Caenorhabditis remanei. Its description in RNAcentral is "crm-miR-247". Its record names the gene crm-miR-247. The record is from miRBase by way of RNAcentral. Lineage: Eukaryota; Metazoa; Nematoda; Chromadorea; Rhabditida; Rhabditidae.
UGACUAGAGCCAAUUCUCUUC